RNAcentral lists this long non-coding RNA (756 nucleotides) under Hordeum vulgare. RNAcentral's name for it is "long non-coding RNA (HVUL_LNC016887)". Lineage: Eukaryota; Viridiplantae; Streptophyta; Magnoliopsida; Poales; Poaceae. The record is from RNAcentral.
GGCGCUACUACCUGCCAUCUUACAAAAAAAGGUGUAAGCACACCCAAUGAAGAUUAUGAGGGCAUUGGCUGAUGGGUUGACCGCUUGGUCACCAAAAAUCCCAUGUGUUGCAAGAAUUGACAACAAAAACAUGUUUCAUAUAUACCCUCAUGCAUAAGAAAGAAUAUGUAUGCUCAUUACUUCGAAGCGAUCAAUUUCCUGAUCCCCAGUUCUUAUUGAGACCUAUGUGGAAAAAUGAAUCUGAAAAGGAAUAAAAAGAGCACAUCGAAUUGUGAGGCAGCUGCGCCGCCAUGAACCUGUGCUGGCUUGAUCCCAUGUCCGCCGUCAGGGGCCGCUUGCGUUCAUCUCGCCCGUCGCCUAGGGCUCCCAAAUCCAUGUCUUGCACCGCAGAUCCUCCUGCAACCAUGCCGCAGCGCGUCGCACCGAUGUCCCUCGUGCUCCUACAGAAGCACACUCAGCAAACACAAAACUUAUAUCUCAGACUAAAAACACACUUGGGAUCACCACAUAUGAUGAGGCAGAGCACGACACAGUGGCACCGCUAGAGUUGACCACCAAAUUGACCCAACCAUGGAUCCCAAUGGCACCCAUCUGUGUGGCAUUCCAGCGAGCAUGCUGCACUCACACACUACGGAACGCAUAUUUCUCCUCCUCAACCUCCUGACACUGCCUCCAGGCUCCAGCCCCCCCACCACCGCAACUCGCGUACCUCUCCUCUUCCUCAUCAACCUUCGCCGGAGCUUGGACCACCCCGAC